This 253-nucleotide ribosomal RNA is filed under the name uncultured bacterium. RNAcentral's name for it is "partial 16S ribosomal RNA". It matches the Rfam family "Bacterial small subunit ribosomal RNA", at positions 524 to 776 of the family's 1533-position model. The record is from RNAcentral.
GACGAACCGAGCGAACGUUAUUCGGAAUCACUGGGCUUAAAGGGCGCGUAGGCGGGCCGGAUAGUCAGGGGUGAAAUCCUCCAGCUUAACUGGAGAACGGCCGUGGAUACUGGCGACCUCGAGGGGGGUAGGGGCUUGCGGAACUGUGCGUGGAGCGGUGAAAUGCGUUGAUAUGCACAGGAACUCCGGUGGCGAAGGCGGCGAGCUGGACCCUUUCUGACGCUGAGGCGCGAAAGCCAGGGGAGCGAACGGG